AUUGAACGCUGGCGGCAUGCCUUACACAUGCCAGUCGAACGGCAGCGCGGACUUCGGUCUGGCGGCGAGUGGCGAACGGGUGAGUAAUACAUCGGAACGUACCCUGUUGUGGGGGAUAACUAGUCGAAAGAUUAGCUAAUACCGCAUACGACCUGAGGGUGAAAGUGGGGGACCGCAAGGCCUCACGCAGCAGGAGCGGCCGAUGUCUGAUUAGCUAGUUGGUGGGGUAAAGGCCCACCAAGGCGACGAUCAGUAGCUAGUCUGAGAGGACGAUCAGCCACACUGGGACUGAGACACGGCCCAGACUCCUACGGGAGGCAGCAGUGGGGAAUUUUGGACAAUGGGGGCAACCCUGAUCCAGCAAUGCCGCGUGUGUGAAGAAGGCCUUCGGGUUGUAAAGCACUUUUGUCCGGAAAGAAAUCGCGCUGGUUAAUACCUGGCGUGGAUGACGGUACCGGAAGAAUAAGCACCGGCUAACUACGUG
This 484-nucleotide ribosomal RNA is filed under the name uncultured bacterium. Its description in RNAcentral is "partial 16S ribosomal RNA". It matches the Rfam family "Bacterial small subunit ribosomal RNA", at positions 30 to 507 of the family's 1533-position model. The record is from RNAcentral.